UUAAGUUUAGAAGCUGUUGUAAUUUGUGGUUUAAUGGGUUUUGUACCUUUUGCAUCAUGUUUUUCAGAUGUUUUUAGAAAUUCUAUUUUAUCGAAAGAUGUGGAUCUUGUAUGAUAUUGGUUUGUUUAAAAAACCGGGUUGGUCAGGUUUAGAUAUUGUAUUAGUUGUGAAAAAUUAAUCGGCACGUUUUAUAACUAUUUAGUGAUGUACAAUUUAUUUGUAACACUGAGGCUAAGAGGUCUUAGUGUAGGGUACAUGAUAUAUUUGUUUUUUUAGAAAUGGGUUGAAGUUACCCUAUUCUUAUAAAAGUGUUAAAAUUUUUUUAAAUCUGCUGUUUAUAUUCAUUACAUCGUAAAAAUCACUUUAUGAACUUUAUGAACUAUAUAAAUUGUUAAAUAAGUAUUUACAAUAGAAUUAUUAUAUCUCAUAUGCUUUCUGUCUGUUUAUUAAAAACAUUUCCAUCAUUAAAGUUUUAUGGUAGUACCUGCUCUAUGUUUAUAUAAAUGGCCGCAGUAUAUUGACUGUGCGAAGGUAGCAUAAUUAAUUGCCUUAUAAUUGAAGGCUUGUUUGAAUGGUUUGACAAGGGGGUGAUUUAUAUUAAUUUUUUUUUAGAAAUUACUAUGGAGUGCACAGAAGCCUCUCUUAUUAAUUAGACGGAAAGACCCCAGGAUCUUUCUUUUUUACUUGGGGCAAGUAUGAAUCUUUUAUUAAUAUUAUGACCCUUAUGGUUUACUGAGUUAAGUUACCCUGGGGAUAACAGUGUAAUAGUUAUUUAGAGGCCUUAUCGAAUUAACUGAUUGCUACCUCGAUGUUGACUUAGAUAUAUAUGUUUGGCGCAGUUGUUGAACGUUUUGGUCUGUUCGACCAGAUUUAUCUCCAUGAGUUGAGUUAAGACCGGCGUAAGCCAGGUCGGUUCUUAUCUAUUAUUCUAAUUUACUAGUACGAAAGGACCGUGAAUUUUUUAGUUUU
RNAcentral lists this ribosomal RNA (969 nucleotides) under Tetrabothrius erostris. RNAcentral describes it as "16S ribosomal RNA". The stretch from base 647 to 926 matches the Rfam family "Archaeal large subunit ribosomal RNA", at positions 2150 to 2716 of the family's 2987-position model. The record is from RNAcentral. Lineage: Eukaryota; Metazoa; Platyhelminthes; Cestoda; Tetrabothriidea; Tetrabothriidae.